GAUGAACGCUGGCGGCGUGCCUAAUACAUGCAAGUCGAGCGAACAGACGAGGAGCUUGCUCCUCUGACGUUAGCGGCGGACGGGUGAGUAACACGUGGAUAACCUACCUAUAAGUCUGGGAUAACUUCGGGAAACCGGAGCUAAUACCGGAUCAUAUAUUGAACCGCAUGGUUCGAUAGUGAAAGACGGUUUUGCUGUCACUUAUAGAUGGAUCCGCGCCGCCUUAGCUAGUUGGUAAGGUAACGGCUUACCAAGGCAACGAUGCGUAGCCGACCUGAGAGGGUGAUCAGCCACACUGGAACUGAGACACGGUCCAGACUCCUACGGGAGGCAGCAGUAGGGAAUCUUCCGCAAUGGGCGAAAGCCUGACGGAGCAACGCCGCGUGAGUGAUGAAGGUCUUCGGAUCGUAAAGCUCUGUUAUUAGGGAAGAAAAAAUGUGUAAGUAACUAUGCCCGUCUUGACGGUACCUAAUCAGAAAGCCACGGCUAACUACGUG
This 497-nucleotide ribosomal RNA is filed under the name uncultured bacterium. RNAcentral's name for it is "partial 16S ribosomal RNA". It matches the Rfam family "Bacterial small subunit ribosomal RNA", at positions 28 to 507 of the family's 1533-position model. The record is from RNAcentral.